CAUGAUUUGAACAGAGUCUCCCUGAGCUCUUUUCGGAACAGCUGCCUCACUUUUUCCAUCUUUUUGAAUGCAGAUUCUUUUUGGUGUUAUUCUGUUUCUGUUGCAAGACUACAUUUGGGUGUGUGUGAGGAAGAUAUCUUUUAGUUUAAUAUCUUAGUUCAUUUUCUGUUGUUUGUAACAGAAUACCUGACACUGGGUUAUUUAUUUAAUAAGAAAGGUAUUUCUUACAGGUGUGGAGUCUAAGAAGUCCAAGGUUGAGGAGCUGCAUCUGAUGAGAGCCUUCUUGCUGGUUGGGAUCCUCUGCAGAGUCUUGAGUUGGGCAUUAAAAACUGUAUCACAGACACAUGAAUAUUGUAGGCCUCAUCUCCAAGUAUUACCACACUGAGGGUCAAGACUUCAACAUAUGGUGGAGAGCAGGAGGUAUUGUGUACUUUUCAAAAUAAGAUCUCCGACAUAGCUGUUUAUCUGGAGUCCCGUGUUUAAUCCUGACAAGAAUGUUGUGGAUGUUGGCUGAAGAAAGGCUGGAGAGCAAUGGUGCAAUCGUGGCUCACUGCAACCUCCGCCUCCUGGAUUC
This 574-nucleotide long non-coding RNA is filed under the name Homo sapiens (human). Its description in RNAcentral is "HSALNT0085409". Lineage: Eukaryota; Metazoa; Chordata; Mammalia; Primates; Hominidae. The record is from RNAcentral.